AUGGUUAACAUUUUAGUCCUUUUACGUAGGGACUUGAAUUUUGCUGUGGGAAUGCGAAAAACAUGGGAAGCUGCUUUCUGCCAAGCUAUUUCCUUAAGGAUCCACUUUACAUACUGCCAAAUCGAUGACCUGUCAGGUAUAGUUAUGUGGCAUAGCAAUGACAUGAGGUCAAUCAGAUGAAGCCAAGUUGUUCUGAAGUAAUCUGUUGAAUUUCUAUAUUGUAAGACCAGUGCUGAAUCAUUUCAACAACUGUAUUUUAUAUUUCAAAAACAUAUAAAAAAUGCAGUCCUUCAAAUAGGCCAAAACAGCGAUCUGGCUUUGCAGCGGAGUGCUGGGAAAAGAGCGCAAGGGUGGAAUGUAAGAUGACACCUAAUUCUUUAAUGGG
RNAcentral lists this long non-coding RNA (385 nucleotides) under Struthio camelus australis. RNAcentral describes it as "lncRNA (ENSSCUG00000008584.1)". Lineage: Eukaryota; Metazoa; Chordata; Aves; Struthioniformes; Struthionidae. The record is from RNAcentral.